This is a non-coding RNA of Clostridium colicanis DSM 13634, 30 nucleotides long. The record is from Rfam. NCBI's taxonomy places the organism in Bacteria, Bacillati, Bacillota, Clostridia, Eubacteriales, Clostridiaceae.
AUUUAAAUACAUCUUAUGUUAAUGUUCAAU